CUCACAGAUCACGUAUUAACAUUUUAAAAUCGUUCCUUUUUCAAUAUGGUUCCGACUCUUACGACUGGAAGAUGUAUAGUGCUUCUUAUAGAAAUUUAGUGAUAUGGUGAUAACGUGAUUGGUGAUGAAGUUGGCAAUUUGUUAGCAAAUUGGAUUUUACCCGGAGAGCGAUUUGGAGGAAAGUGUGGUAUCCAACGUUACUAAUCACGUCUUCAUUAUAGUGUAUCAGACCACUGGUCUUCUUGUUCCACCCUUAAUGCUUCCUCGUAUGUUUACCCGUCCAUCGGAAAGAAGACAGUAAUCAUUGGUUUGACCUUGUUAAACUUAGUUUGAUGAGCUGGCAGGAGCUACAUACCAAGCGAACGUCUUUCACCAACAUCGGCAAUGCCUAAGAAGGUACAGACUCACAGAUAAAAAGAUAUAAUAAAAAAGACGGCACAAUUUAAUGGAUAACGUCAGCUGAAAUCUUU
Long non-coding RNA from Papilio xuthus (Asian swallowtail), 470 nucleotides. RefSeq lists it as uncharacterized. The transcript is spliced from 4 exons. The record is from RefSeq and is a predicted model, not a curated record. Lineage: Eukaryota; Metazoa; Arthropoda; Insecta; Lepidoptera; Papilionidae.